This 72-nucleotide transfer RNA is filed under the name Phacus pleuronectes. RNAcentral's name for it is "tRNA-Gly". It matches the Rfam family "tRNA". Rfam says of the family: Transfer RNA (tRNA) molecules are approximately 80 nucleotides in length. The record is from RNAcentral. Lineage: Eukaryota; Euglenozoa; Euglenophyceae; Euglenales; Phacaceae.
GCAGAUGUAGCUCAGUGGUAGAGUAUAACCUUGCCAAGGUUAGUGUCAUGGGUUCGAAUCCCAUUAUCUGCU